RNAcentral lists this ribosomal RNA (392 nucleotides) under uncultured bacterium. RNAcentral describes it as "bacterial SSU rRNA". It matches the Rfam family "Bacterial small subunit ribosomal RNA", at positions 28 to 404 of the family's 1533-position model. The record is from RNAcentral.
AACGAACGCUGGCGGCGUGCUUAAGACAUGCAAGUCGUGCGAGAAAGUUCCUUCGGGAGCGAGUAAAGCGGCGCACGGGUGAGUAACACGUGGGUAAUCUGCCCGAGGGUCUGGGAUAACUCCGGGAAACUGGGGCUAAUACCGGAUAAGACCACGGCGUCUGCGGGCGCUGCGGGAAAAGGUGGCCUCUGCUUGCAAGCUACCGCCUACGGAUGAGCCUGCGUCCCAUUAGCUAGNGGCGGGGUAACGGCCCACCAAGGCUGAGAUGGGUAGCUGGUCUGAGAGGACGACCAGCCACACUGGAACUGAGACACGGUCCAGACUCCUACGGGAGGCAGCAGUCGGGAAUUUUGGGCGAAUGGGCGAAAGCCUGACCCAGCGACGCCGCGUGA